Molecule: ribosomal RNA, 253 nt
Filed under: uncultured bacterium
Lineage: Bacteria
Description: partial 16S ribosomal RNA
Rfam family: Bacterial small subunit ribosomal RNA
Source: RNAcentral
UACGGAGGGUGCGAGCGUUAAUCGGAAUUACUGGGCGUAAAGCGCACGCAGGCGGUUUGUUAAGCUAGAUGUGAAAGCCCCGGGCUCAACCUGGGAUGGUCAUUUAGAACUGGCAGACUAGAGUCUUGGAGAGGGGGGUGGAAUUCCAGGUGUAGCGGUGAAAUGCGUAGAUAUCUGGAGGAACAUCAGUGGCGAAGGCGACUCCCUGGCCAAAGACUGACGCUCAUGUGCGAAAGUGUGGGUAGCGAACAGG